UCUGAAUCUGCGUACGGCUCCGCAAACCAGUUGUAAACUAUAGCAAGCAGGCUCGGGGUCGGCCUUCACGGGCUGGCCUCGGGCGAUAUGGAUAACCCUGGUAAUUCUGAGGCUAAUACAUGAACGUAGAACCCGGUUGACUAGGCCUCACGGCUAGGGAUGCUGGGGGAUGUGCGAUUGCAGGCUUGGGUAACUCCGGGAAAGGGCGCACGUCCAGACCGCGCUAUAAAGGAUGGGCUUCUCACGAGGCCUGCCCCAGCGGCUCUUGCUGUGUGCUUCUGACCUAUCAACUAGACGGCAGCGUAAGGGACAUGCUAUGGU
Molecule: ribosomal RNA, 321 nt
Filed under: Lamproderma ovoideum
Lineage: Eukaryota; Evosea; Eumycetozoa; Stemonitida; Stemonitidae
Also listed under: 1 other name
Description: bacterial SSU rRNA
Rfam family: Eukaryotic small subunit ribosomal RNA
Source: RNAcentral